GCCCCUGUGGCUUAGUGGCUAUAGCGGCUGACUUGUAAUCAGCAGGUCGGGAGUUCAAUUCUCCCCAGGGGCU
Molecule: transfer RNA, 73 nt
Filed under: Candidatus Woesearchaeota archaeon
Lineage: Archaea; Nanobdellati; Candidatus Woesearchaeota
Description: tRNA-Thr
Rfam family: tRNA
About the family: Transfer RNA (tRNA) molecules are approximately 80 nucleotides in length.
Source: RNAcentral